Eragrostis curvula (weeping love grass) is the source of this 73-nucleotide non-coding RNA. NCBI's taxonomy places the organism in Eukaryota, Viridiplantae, Streptophyta, Magnoliopsida, Poales, Poaceae. The record is from the annotation of a GenBank genome assembly.
GGGUCCUUAGCUUAGUGAUUAAGGCACCAGAUUAGCACCUUUGAGGUUCUGGGUUCGACUCCUGGUGGGAGCA